Molecule: ribosomal RNA, 253 nt
Filed under: uncultured bacterium
Lineage: Bacteria
Description: partial 16S ribosomal RNA
Rfam family: Bacterial small subunit ribosomal RNA
Source: RNAcentral
UACGUAGGGUGCGAGCGUUGUCCGGAAUUAUUGGGCGGAAAGGGCUCGUAGGCGGUUCGUCACGUCGGGAGUGAAAACUCGGAGCUUAACUCCGAGCCUGCUUCCGAUACGGGCAGACUAGAGGUAGGCAGGGGAGAGCGGAACUCCUGGUGUAGCGGUGGAAUGCGCAGAUAUCAGGAAGAACACCGGUGGCGAAGGCGGCUUUCUGGGACGGUACUGACGCUGAGACGCGAAAGCGUGGGGAGCGAACAGG